Lacerta agilis (Sand lizard) is the source of this 128-nucleotide long non-coding RNA. RefSeq lists it as uncharacterized. The record is from RefSeq and is a predicted model, not a curated record. The transcript is spliced from 2 exons. NCBI's taxonomy places the organism in Eukaryota, Metazoa, Chordata, Lepidosauria, Squamata, Lacertidae.
AAACGACGCUACUUGCACCAUAGAAGGAAGAAAAUUGUAGAGCAGCUCAUCCUGUUGUCCGCAGAGGAACCUUCCAGAGAGUCAAGGUGUGUUGUUGAAAAGAGUCCGUGUUGCAGUUGCUCGGGAGG